GAUGAACGCUGGCGGCGUGCCUAAUACAUGCAAGUCGAGCGAACGGACGAGAAGCUUGCUUCUCUGAUGUUAGCGUCGGACGGGUGAGUAACACGUGGAUAACCUACCUAUAAGACUGGGAUAACUUCGGGAAACCGGAGCUAAUACCGGAUAAUAUUUUGAACCGCAUGGUUCAAAAGUGAAAGACGGUCUUGCUGUCACUUAUAGAUGGAUCCGCGCUGCAUUAGCUAGUUGGUAAGGUAACGGCUUACCAAGGCAACGAUGCAUAGCCGACCUGAGAGGGUGAUCGGCCACACUGGAACUGAGACACGGUCAAGACUCCUACGGGAGGCAGCAGUAGGAAAUCUUCAGCAAUGGGCGAAAGCCUGACGGAGAAACGCCGCGUGAGUGAGGAAGGUCUUCGGAUCGUAAAACUCUGUUAUUAGGGAAGAACAUAUGUGUAAGUAACUGUGCACAUCUUGACGGUACCUAAUCAGAAAGCCACGGCUAACUACGUG
Molecule: ribosomal RNA, 497 nt
Filed under: uncultured bacterium
Lineage: Bacteria
Description: partial 16S ribosomal RNA
Rfam family: Bacterial small subunit ribosomal RNA
Source: RNAcentral